CCUGCAUACACUGGACGAGAAACAGUAUAUUCCAAUGCAUCCCUGCUGAUCCAGAAUGUCACCCGGGAGGAUGCAGGAUCCUACACCUUACACAUCAUAAAGCGAGGUGAUAGGACUAGAGGAGUAACUGGAUAUUUCACCUUCAACUUAUACCAGUCAGAACAUAACAUGAGGUCUAAACUCCUGACAACUUUUUAUGGGAAAAUUACAGCAUUCCAAAUUGAGCAUCGGAAAUCCAGAAAUCCACAAUCUGAAAUGCUCAAAACUCAACCCUUCUGACCACUGAUGUGAUGCUAAAAAGAAGUGCUCACUGGCGCAUUUUGGAUUUAAAAUUUUUCAGAUUUGGGAUGCUAAACCAGUACAUAUACGGCAAAUAUUCCAAAACAAAACAAAACAAAAUUAGAAAUCC
This 409-nucleotide small RNA is filed under the name Pan troglodytes (chimpanzee). Its description in RNAcentral is "processed transcript". Lineage: Eukaryota; Metazoa; Chordata; Mammalia; Primates; Hominidae. The record is from RNAcentral.